AGAGUUUGAUCCUGGCUCAGAUUGAACGCUGGCGGCAUGCUUUACACAUGCAAGUCGAACGGCAGCACGGGUGCUUGCACCUGGUGGCGAGUGGCGAACGGGUGAGUAAUGCACCGGAACGUACCCAGUAAUGGGGGAUAACACAUCGAAAGAUGUGCUAAUACCGCAUACGCCCUGAGGGGGAAAGCGGGGGAUCGUAAGACCUCGCGUUAUUGGAGCGGCCGAUGCCGGAUUAGCUAGUUGGUGAGGUAAGAGCUCACCAAGGCGACGAUCCGUAGCUGGUCUGAGAGGACGACCAGCCACACUGGGACUGAGACAUGGCCCAGACUCCUACGGGAGGCAGCAGUGGGGAAUUUUGGACAAUGGGCGCAAGCCUGAUCCAGCCAUGCCGCGUGAGUGAAGAAGGCCUUCGGGUUGUAAAGCUCUUUCGCAAGGAAAGAAAACUUAUCU
Molecule: ribosomal RNA, 450 nt
Filed under: uncultured bacterium
Lineage: Bacteria
Description: bacterial SSU rRNA
Rfam family: Bacterial small subunit ribosomal RNA
Source: RNAcentral